Non-coding RNA from Balearica pavonina (black crowned-crane), 45 nucleotides. The record is from Rfam. Lineage: Eukaryota; Metazoa; Chordata; Aves; Gruiformes; Gruidae.
AAAGGCUCUUUUAAGAGCCACCCACGUUUUCUCUGAAAGAGCUGU